UGGAUCCAGACUUUGAUUCUGGCUCAGGAUGAACGCUAGCUACAGGCUUAACACAUGCAAGUCGAGGGGAAACGACAUCGAAAGCUUGCUUUUGAUGGGCGUCGACCGGCGCACGGGUGAGUAACGCGUAUCCAACCUGCCCACCACUUGGGGAUAACCUUGCGAAAGUAAGACUAAUACCCAAUGACGUCUCUAGAAGACAUCUGAAGGAGAUUAAAGAUUUAUCGGUGAUGGAUGGGGAUGCGUCUGAUUAGCUUGUUGGCGGGGUAACGGCCCACCAAGGCUACGAUCAGUAGGGGUUCUGAGAGGAAGGUCCCCCACAUUGGAACUGAGACACGGUCCAAACUCCUACGGGAGGCAGCAGUGAGGAAUAUUGGUCAAUGGACGAGAGUCUGAACCAGCCAAGUAGCGUGCAGGAUGACGGCCCUAUGGGUUGUAAACUGCUUUUAUAAGGGAAUAAAGUGAGUCUCGUGAGGCUUUUUGCAUGUACCUUAUGAAUAAGGACCGGCUAAUUCCGUGCCAGCAGCCGCGGUAAUACGGAAGGUCCGGGCGUUAUCCGGAUUUAUUGGGUUUAAAGGGAGCGUAGGCCGGAGAUUAAGCGUGUUGUGAAAUGUAGACGCUCAACGUCUGCACAGCAGCGCGAACUGGUUUCCUUGAGUACGCACAAAGUGGGCGGAAUUCGUGGUGUAGCGGUGAAAUGCUUAGAUAUCACGAAGAACUCCGAUUGCGAAGGCAGCUCACUGGAGCGCAACUGACGCUGAA
This 762-nucleotide ribosomal RNA is filed under the name uncultured bacterium. RNAcentral describes it as "bacterial SSU rRNA". It matches the Rfam family "Bacterial small subunit ribosomal RNA", at positions 1 to 750 of the family's 1533-position model. RNAcentral also lists the same sequence under 1 other name. The record is from RNAcentral.